UUCCUACGGGACGCAGCAGUGAGGAAUAUUGGUCAAUGGGCGGGAGCCUGAACCAGCCAUGCCGCGUGAAGGCGAGUGCCCUACGGGCGUUAAACUUCUUUUGUGCGGGAGCAAUAAGGGCCACGUGUGGCCCGAUGAGAGUACCGCACGAAUAAGCAUCGGCUAACUCCGUGCCAGCAGCCGCGGUAAUACGGGGGAUGCGAGCGUUAUCCGGAUUUAUUGGGGUUAAAGGGUGCGUAGGCGGUUUUUUAAGUUAGUGGUUAAACGUCGGGGCUUCACCUUGAUUUGCCAUUAAUACUGUAAGA
Molecule: ribosomal RNA, 305 nt
Filed under: uncultured bacterium
Lineage: Bacteria
Description: bacterial SSU rRNA
Rfam family: Bacterial small subunit ribosomal RNA
Source: RNAcentral